CCUACGGGUGGCAGCAGUGAGGAAUAUUGGUCAAUGGGCGGGAGCCUGAACCAGCCAAGUCGCGUGAGGGAAGAAGGUACUGAGUAUUGUAAACCUCUUUUGCCAGGGGACAAAGGCGGCCACGGGUGGCCGUAAGAGGGUACCUGGAGAAAAAGCAUCGGCUAACUCCGUGCCAGCCGCCGCGGUAAUACGGAGGAUGCGAGCGUUAUCCGGUUUUAUUGGGUUUAAAGGGUGCGCAGGCGGCGUGUCAAGUCAGCGGGAAAAUGUCGGGGCUCAACCCCGGCCGGCCGUUGAAACUGGCAGGCGCGAGUUGGAGAGAAGUAUGCGGAAUUCGUGGUGUAGCGGUGAAAUGCAUAGAUAUCACGAAGAACCCCGAUUGCGAAGGCAGCAUACCGGCCCCACACUGACGCUGAGGCACGAAAGCGUGGGUAUCGAACAGGAUUAGAUACCCUUGUAGUC
This 459-nucleotide ribosomal RNA is filed under the name uncultured bacterium. RNAcentral's name for it is "partial 16S ribosomal RNA". It matches the Rfam family "Bacterial small subunit ribosomal RNA", at positions 338 to 795 of the family's 1533-position model. The record is from RNAcentral.